Molecule: long non-coding RNA, 1685 nt
Filed under: Helianthus annuus (common sunflower)
Lineage: Eukaryota; Viridiplantae; Streptophyta; Magnoliopsida; Asterales; Asteraceae
Source: RNAcentral
GUUUUCCAUCAUCGAUUGAAAUUGAAUGCGAUCUUUUGGCAUUCGCCCACAUCUACCCUAUAACCUGAUUUCCGAUUUUGAAGGAACCCGAACCGAUUUGCAGUGGAAGAUGAACUUGCAACAUGGAGAGAUUCGGAGGCGGUGGUGGUGAUACUCUACAACUUGAUUCGAAUUCAUCAGGGAAGAGGAAGACAGUGUGAAGGUUGGCAUAAGUGAUACCAGCCAUGAUAGAUUUAAAUUAACGGCUAAACAAAUUGUAGGCGUGGAGCUUAGUAGAAUACGAAAGGGUCAUCAUGCUUGAAUGAAAAUCUUUUUCGUAUUUAUAUAUGGAGAUGUCUUUAAUGUCUGCACUCUGAAAUUAAAGAUGGAACGAGGAACCUUGGAAGGAAGUUGAAGAGUCAAUGACUUUUGCCAAGAGACACUGUAUUUUUCCCGCCUUCCCACUCAAAUCGUAAGAGCGUACUCGACACGUUGUUUAAAAUCCAUCAGAGCUCUAAUAAAUCAUUCCAGUUUGCGCUUUACCAAUCAAUGGAAUAUGUUUUACAGUGGCGAUUGGUACAAUUUGAUUUCUAAAAUGGAUCAACAUGCUUUGCGAUUGAAUUCACAAUUUAAGUGGCGAUUGGUAUGUAAGUGUAUUGUGAUUCGGUACAUCACGUACCCACACGUAAACCAACAGGACCCAAAACCUAUCAAGGAGAUCAAGAAGUUUGCACAAAAAGCCAUGGGAACCACAACCACUAACGUAAGAAUGGAAGUCAGAUUAAACAAAUACGUUUACAGCCGCGGAAUCAGAAAUGUAUCAAACACAUCGAGCUUCGUAUAGUUGAAGGGUUGACUAUAGUUCAGUCUCCACGUUUUUUAUAGGUCAACAUAGCAGCCGCCUCUAGAGCUUCAGCACAAAAUUUAUAUAAGUUUUAAGGCAUCUUCUUUAUUCUCUUAGCAUGAAUAUCUAUUGUUAUCUUAUUGCGAAUUUUGAAUGAUAUUUAAGAUGUAAACAUAAAUAUAGCUCAUGAAUAUCUAUUGUUAAUCUUAUUGCGAAUUUUGAAUGAUAUUUAAGAAAUAAGAUUGGGCAAAACAAAAUUUGUGAUCAUGUAAACACAAAUAUAGCUUAUUUCAGUCAUCACUUUCUCUUUUUAUAUUCUGAAAAUUUAACACCGUGAUACUCUUUGCUAUAUCUUUAAACUUACUAAUUCAUAUUACCAUUGUUGCUUUUACAUUUUCAUUUCCUUUCUUUUAGGCUAAAAAGGCAACACUUGAAGAGCUAGAAGAGAGGGGAAGAAGAGGUUCGAUAGAUGAUCCGAAGAAGCUCCCAAAGUAGAAUUAUGAUGGGUCUUGUGGGUUUGAGUCAUAUGGUUCUAACCAGGCUGAGUUUAGGUGACACGGACUGUUUUAUAAAGUGGUCGACUGGUUUUGGUUAGAACGAGUUCGGGUUUGAGUGGGUUCCGGCAAAACUGAAUACGGGGCAAAUCGAAGUAUUCAAAAAAGUGGUCAUUUUUGUUUGGGCAGAACGAUUUCAUAGCGUUGGGCAGGGUAACGUGUCGUAGAAGGUUCGGGUCUCAGUGUGUUCCGACCAAAUUGAGUACAGGUCAAAAGAUGUUGUUUUAAAUUGGGGUCGUUUGGUAGCUCUGUGCUUAUUAAAAUUUUUACAGUCACAAAUGAUAUAGUUGAUAAAGCAAUCAUUUUCU